Molecule: long non-coding RNA, 790 nt
Organism: Drosophila miranda
Lineage: Eukaryota; Metazoa; Arthropoda; Insecta; Diptera; Drosophilidae
Exons: 2
Source: RefSeq, a predicted model, not a curated record
GCGAACGCGGACCAGUCUAAAAAGAACCCAAAAACGAAGCCGCCUUCGGUUUGUUUUUGAAGGCGGCAAAUAACCGCAAUUUCGUGGAGUUACAGUGCCCACUCAGCUAGUUUUUACCGAGCCACGACAUGCAAUAAGCACCGAAAUGGUAAGUUAAUCGUGAUAUUUUACUGUAGUUGCGCUCGUGGAAUGAAAGAGACAAGAAUUUACACAAACAAAAUGCAUUUUUUUUCCUCGUUUGCUUUAUGCGUUGAUUUUGUUCACUUCUGUACAACAUCUAAUCGCUGGAAGAGUCUUUUGUGUAAACAUUUAUUAAAAAAGUGGAAAAGAAUUAAUAAAUAAAUCAAAUUAAUAUAAACAGGUACGUGCAAAUAUAUAUUAUAUAUUUCAAAUAAAAUGAUGAGCAAAAGGCAUUUGCGUAGACUCCGUAAGAGUGAAAGGGAAGCUAACAUUGCAAAGUUAGCGUUGUGCAGGAAAGAUAACAGAUAACAGCAAUGAAAUCGAUUCUCCAGCCAGCUGGCGUUUUGAGCGGCUUAAACUUUAUUUUGAGUGAGGAAAUUGUUCUAGCCUAUAACGUCGAUGGGGUCUAAUGGAAGAAGGCCCUUAGGACCCACAAAGAAUUUUUUGCAGCUUUGCUAGAAUGUAUUCCGCCUGGCGAUGAGCCCCCUGAAAACACUGUGCGGAAGGCAAUGCAAAGGAUGAAGAAAAGGGUGUUUAAGAAGAAGUGUCUUGCCAAAAACCAGGAGUAGGCUAAGCAUCAUAUAAUUAAAAAUUAUUCGUUAUAAUGAAA